Molecule: ribosomal RNA, 484 nt
Filed under: uncultured bacterium
Lineage: Bacteria
Description: partial 16S ribosomal RNA
Rfam family: Bacterial small subunit ribosomal RNA
Source: RNAcentral
AUUGAACGCUGGCGGCAGGCCUAACACAUGCAAGUCGAGCGGAUGAAGGGAGCUUGCUCCUGGAUUCAGCGGCGGACGGGUGAGUAAUGCCUAGGAAUCUGCCUGGUAGUGGGGGAUAACGUCCGGAAACGGGCGCUAAUACCGCAUACGUCCUGAGGGAGCAAGUGGGGGAUCUUCGGACCUCACGCUAUCAGAUGAGCCUAGGUCGGAUUAGCUAGUUGGUGGGGUAAAGGCCUACCAAGGCGACGAUCCGUAACUGGUCUGAGAGGAUGAUCAGUCACACUGGAACUGAGACACGCUCCAGACUCCUACGGGAGGCAGCAGUGGGGAAUAUUGGACAAUGGGCGAAAGCCUGAUCCAGCCAUGCCGCGUGUGUGAAGAAGGUCUUCGGAUUGUAAAGCACUUUAAGUUGGGAGGAAGGGCAGUAAGUUAAUACCUUGCUGUUUUGACGUUACCAACAGAAUAAGCACCGGCUAACUUCGUG